Molecule: ribosomal RNA, 2248 nt
Filed under: Salmonella enterica subsp. enterica
Lineage: Bacteria; Pseudomonadati; Pseudomonadota; Gammaproteobacteria; Enterobacterales; Enterobacteriaceae
Also listed under: 1 other name
Description: partial 23S ribosomal RNA
Rfam family: Bacterial large subunit ribosomal RNA
Source: RNAcentral
AGACCCGAAACCCGGUGAUCUAGCCAUGGGCAGGUUGAAGGUUGGGUAACACUAACUGGAGGACCGAACCGACUAAUGUUGAAAAAUUAGCGGAUGACCUGUGGCUGGGGGUGAAAGGCCAAUCAAACCGGGAGAUAGCUGGUUCUCCCCGAAAGCUAUUUAGGUAGCGCCUCGUGAAUUCAUCUCCGGGGGUAGAGCACUGUUUCGGCUAGGGGGCCAUCCCGGCUUACCAACCCGAUGCAAACUGCGAAUACCGGAGAAUGUUAUCACGGGAGACACACGGCGGGUGCUAACGUCCGUCGUGAAGAGGGAAACAACCCAGACCGCCAGCUAAGGUCCCAAAGUCAUGGUUAAGUGGGAAACGAUGUGGGAAGGCCCAGACAGCCAGGAUGUUGGCUUAGAAGCAGCCAUCAUUUAAAGAAAGCGUAAUAGCUCACUGGUCGAGUCGGCCUGCGCGGAAGAUGUAACGGGGCUAAACCAUGCACCGAAGCUGCGGCAGCGACGCUGAUGCGUUGUUGGGUAGGGGAGCGUUCUGUAAGCCUGCGAAGGUGGCCUGUGAGGGUUGCUGGAGGUAUCAGAAGUGCGAAUGCUGACAUAAGUAACGAUAAAGCGGGUGAAAAGCCCGCUCGCCGGAAGACCAAGGGUUCCUGUCCAACGUUAAUCGGGGCAGGGUGAGUCGACCCCUAAGGCGAGGCCGAAAGGCGUAGUCGAUGGGAAACGGGUUAAUAUUCCCGUACUUGGUGUUACUGCGAAGGGGGGACGGAGAAGGCUAUGUUGGCCGGGCGACGGUUGUCCCGGUUUAAGCGUGUAGGUGUGUGUUCCAGGUAAAUCCGGUUCACUUUAACACUGAGGCGUGAUGACGAGGCACUACGGUGCUGAAGCAACAAAUGCCCUGCUUCCAGGAAAAGCCUCUAAGCAUCAGGUAACAUCAAAUCGUACCCCAAACCGACACAGGUGGUCAGGUAGAGAAUACCAAGGCGCUUGAGAGAACUCGGGUGAAGGAACUAGGCAAAAUGGUGCCGUAACUUCGGGAGAAGGCACGCUGACACGUAGGUGAAGUGAUUUACUCAUGGAGCUGAAGUCAGUCGAAGAUACCAGCUGGCUGCAACUGUUUAUUAAAAACACAGCACUGUGCAAACACGAAAGUGGACGUAUACGGUGUGACGCCUGCCCGGUGCCGGAAGGUUAAUUGAUGGGGUCAGCGCAAGCGAAGCUCCUGAUCGAAGCCCCGGUAAACGGCGGCCGUAACUAUAACGGUCCUAAGGUAGCGAAAUUCCUUGUCGGGUAAGUUCCGACCUGCACGAAUGGCGUAAUGAUGGCCAGGCUGUCUCCACCCGAGACUCAGUGAAAUUGAACUCGCUGUGAAGAUGCAGUGUACCCGCGGCAAGACGGAAAGACCCCGUGAACCUUUACUAUAGCUUGACACUGAACAUUGAGCCUUGAUGUGUAGGAUAGGUGGGAGGCUUUGAAGUGUGGACGCCAGUCUGCAUGGAGCCGGCCUUGAAAUACCACCCUUUAAUGUUUGAUGUUCUAACGUGGACCCGUGAUCCGGGUUGCGGACAGUGUCUGGUGGGUAGUUUGACUGGGGCGGUCUCCUCCUAAAGAGUAACGGAGGAGCACGAAGGUUGGCUAAUCCUGGUCGGACAUCAGGAGGUUAGUGCAAUGGCAUAAGCCAGCUUGACUGCGAGCGUGACGGCGCGAGCAGGUGCGAAAGCAGGUCAUAGUGAUCCGGUGGUUCUGAAUGGAAGGGCCAUCGCUCAACGGAUAAAAGGUACUCCGGGGAUAACAGGCUGAUACCGCCCAAGAGUUCAUAUCGACGGCGGUGUUUGGCACCUCGAUGUCGGCUCAUCACAUCCUGGGGCUGAAGUAGGUCCCAAGGGUAUGGCUGUUCGCCAUUUAAAGUGGUACGCGAGCUGGGUUUAGAACGUCGUGAGACAGUUCGGUCCCUAUCUGCCGUGGGCGCUGGAGAACUGAGGGGGGCUGCUCCUAGUACGAGAGGACCGGAGUGGACGCAUCACUGGUGUUCGGGUUGUCAUGCCAAUGGCACUGCCCGGUAGCUAAAUGCGGAAGAGAUAAGUGCUGAAAGCAUCUAAGCACGAAACUUGCCCCGAGAUGAGUUCUCCCUGAGACUUAGAGUCUCCUGAAGGAACGUUGAAGACGACGACGUUGAUAGGCCGGGUGUGUAAGCGCAGCGAUGCGUUGAGCUAACCGGUACUAAUGAACCGUGAGGCUUAACCUUACAACGCCG